CAGACGAUGCGUCAUGCAUAUCAAUAAGCGGAGGAAAAGAAACUAACAAGGAUUCCCUAAGUAACGGCGAGUGAAGCGGGAAGAGCUCAAAUUUGAAAUCUUCAAGGUUUUACCUUGACGAAUUGUAGUUUAAAGAAGUGUUUUCUGCUGAAGUUUUGGUAAAAGUUCUUUGGAAUAGGACAUCAUAGAGGGUGAGAAUCCCGUAUUUGACCAUUAUUUUCAGCUUUGUGAUACACUUUCAAAGAGUCGGAUUGUUUGGGAAUGCAGUCCAAAAUGGGUGGUAAAUUUCAUCUAAAGCUAAAUAUUGGCGAGAGACCGAUAGCGAACAAGUACCGUGAGGGAAAGAUGAAAAGAACUUUGAAAAGAGAGUUAAACAGUACGUGAAAUUGUCAAAAGGGAAGCGUUUGACACCAGUGUUGUUUUCUCGAAAAUCAAUUAAAAAUGGCUCGAUUUUGUAUUGCUUGAGACCUUAAAAGCUCACUGUACAUUUUUCGUGUCUUUUUUAAUGCACUUUUCGUUUAACAAGUCAACAUCAGUUUCUUUUGUUGUAAAAGGGUCAUUGGAAGGUGGCUUUCUUUUCGGAGAAAGUGUUUAUAGCCUUUGGCCUCUGCAAUCGGAGAGACUGAGGUCUGCAGCGUAGACUCUUCGGGGUUAGAUACAUUUGUGCUAAGUUAUAGCUUUUUAUAGACAACUUGUUGACUAUAAUUAGUCUUGUAGCUUACUCGCUUAUGCUAUUUUACCUACGCUUAGGAUGUUGACUGAUAUGUAGUCGUA
RNAcentral lists this ribosomal RNA (774 nucleotides) under uncultured Neocallimastigales. Its description in RNAcentral is "partial large subunit ribosomal RNA". It matches the Rfam family "Eukaryotic large subunit ribosomal RNA", at positions 18 to 644 of the family's 3401-position model. The record is from RNAcentral. Lineage: Eukaryota; Fungi; Neocallimastigomycota; Neocallimastigomycetes; Neocallimastigales.